Molecule: ribosomal RNA, 253 nt
Filed under: uncultured bacterium
Lineage: Bacteria
Description: partial 16S ribosomal RNA
Rfam family: Bacterial small subunit ribosomal RNA
Source: RNAcentral
UACAGAGGUGGCAAGCGUUGUUCGGAAUUACUGGGCGUAAAGGGCGCGUAGGCGGCCUUCUAAGUCAGACGUGAAAUCCCCCGGCUUAACCUGGGAACUGCGUCUGAUACUGGGAGGCUAGAGUGCGGGAGAGGGAUGCGGAAUUCCAGGUGUAGCGGUGAAAUGCGUAGAUAUCUGGAGGAACACCGGUGGCGAAGGCGGCAUCCUGGACCGACACUGACGCUGAGGCGCGAAAGCUAGGGUAGCAAAUGGG